GCUCAGUUGGUAGAGCGCAACCUUGCCAAGGUUGAGGUCACGAGUUCGAACCUCGUGUGUCGCUCCA
RNAcentral lists this transfer RNA (67 nucleotides) under Vibrio cholerae. RNAcentral describes it as "tRNA-Gly". It matches the Rfam family "tRNA", at positions 10 to 71 of the family's 71-position model. From Rfam's summary of the family: Transfer RNA (tRNA) molecules are approximately 80 nucleotides in length. Their secondary structure includes four short double-helical elements and three loops (D, anti-codon, and T loops). RNAcentral also lists the same sequence under 5 other names. Lineage: Bacteria; Pseudomonadati; Pseudomonadota; Gammaproteobacteria; Vibrionales; Vibrionaceae. The record is from RNAcentral.